Schistosoma curassoni is the source of this 45-nucleotide non-coding RNA. The record is from Rfam. Lineage: Eukaryota; Metazoa; Platyhelminthes; Trematoda; Strigeidida; Schistosomatidae.
AUCCAGCUAACGGGUUCGAGAUAGGACGAAACGCGCUUCCUAGAU